Molecule: long non-coding RNA, 398 nt
Filed under: Brassica napus (rape)
Lineage: Eukaryota; Viridiplantae; Streptophyta; Magnoliopsida; Brassicales; Brassicaceae
Description: long non-coding RNA (BNAP_LNC004303)
Source: RNAcentral
AAAAAUGAAAUCAGAAGCAAGAAUCUUCAAAGGUGAAUCAACAGAUGUCUACAGGAUCAAAUCAUACACCGCCCAAGAACUGGAUUUGAACAAGGCGUACUAUGAUGAAGAGGAGCUUCAUCCCAAGAAGAAGAUGGAACCUAAUGUGAUGGAUCUGCUUAAAAUUUAUUUGCCUAAGUAUUUUUAACAUUUUGUUUUUCUGAUUUUAAUUUCUUUUAAGUUUGCUUUCUUUCUCUCUAUAACUAAAUAAUUUUUCUUGUUUUGAUUUAAGUCUCUAAGACCUUUGAUGUUGUUUGUUUUCAUGACGCUAUAAGAAAGACUAUGUAACAUGGAAGAAAGAUGAUAAAUAAAAGAGCUUAAGUUGCUAAAUAAUUGAUUACAUCACGAACUAAAAGACG